AGUGGCACAGUGUGCAAUGCCCAUGGAUUCUACAACCCCAAGGACUCCAGGCUCUAGGGACCACUUUGCUCCCAGCCUCACCGUGGCUUCACAACCCUGCAUGCUCCUUGUGUCUGGCAGUCCUGCUUUCAUCUACCAUGUGAGUAUGGGGCCACACCCUGCUCCUCAAGGGCAGCCUGCUUGGGGCCCACUCUUCAUCCUCUCUCUCAGGCCUGAUUCCAGCUUCCAUGGCCCAGGACCCCCAGCCGGGCUAGGCUUCUUCCUUUCCAGUCUACAACUCCUUUCAGUUCUGCUGCUGCUGCCACCAGUGAAUGAGAGGUAAUUUUCAAAGUUCUGGACCCAGCCAUUCUGGUGGAGAGCCCAAACAACCCCAAGAUUCAGGGUAAUAAUCCCCACAGCCAAUCCUGUAUCCUUGCAUGUCAAGAUAGCCAGAUACUGGGGGGAAGGUGAGGUCCUCCCUGGGUGUAUACACAAGUGGGGCAGAAUGGCAGGCAAGCCAGCAUCAUUCCCCAGCUCUGCCCCAUCAUAGUCCCCUAUUGUGAGCCCUGUUUUGGCUCCCCCAUUCCUGUCCCAUCGUUGUUCCCCACACCCGUGCCCAGUGCAUAGAACAGGCAUGUGUAGCAGUUUCCAUUCUCUGUCCUAUCUGCCCCAUCAUAACUCCUUUAUGGGGCCCCAUUGUGGUUCCCAUCACUACUUUCUAUGUCAGCCCCCAACUAUGUACCCCAUCACUGCACUUAUCACUGAACCUUGUAACUGUCCCCUCUUUGAGUCUCCGUCACUGCUCCCAUUCUGGUUUCCUGGGAUUGCCCUCCCCUGAUUCAUCACCAGGGCCUUAGGUGGUACCCUACAUCUCUGCAGCUACCUCUAAGUGGUGCCAGGAUGUCUGGGUUGUGACUUCUUUCUUGUAAAGCCAAAGUCUUGAAAGAAGAGACAUAACCAAAACCCAGCAGGGCAGCCCAGAGUCAGUUCAGGUGAGUACCAGAGCAGGACAUACCCCAACCUAGCUUUUUCUCUGUACUCUCCACCCAUCUUGACGGGUUAUUACCAACUACUCGCUGAGUUCCCAUAUUAGGUUUCUUUUCUUUUCUUUUCUUUUCUUUUCUUUUCUUUUCUUUUCUUUUCUUUUCUUUUUUUUCUUUUCUUUUUUUCUUUUCUUUUCUUUUCUUUUUUUCUUUUCUUCUUAUUUUUAUUUAUUUAUGAUAGUCACACACAGAGAGAGAGAGAGGCAGAGACAUAGGCAGAGGGAGAAGCAUGCCCUGGGAAGAAGCUCCCAUGCACUGGGAGCCUGACGUGGGAUUCGAUCCCGGGUCUCCAGGAUCGCA
RNAcentral lists this long non-coding RNA (1322 nucleotides) under Canis lupus dingo (dingo). Its description in RNAcentral is "lncRNA (ENSCAFG00020020997.1)". Lineage: Eukaryota; Metazoa; Chordata; Mammalia; Carnivora; Canidae. The record is from RNAcentral.